AUUGAACCCUGGCGGCAGGCCUAACACAUGCAAGUCGAGCGGAUGAAGGGAGCUUGCUCCUGGAUUCAGCGGCGGACGGGUGAGUAAUGCCUAGGAAUCUGCCUGGUAGUGGGGGAUAACGUCCGGAAACGGGCGCUAAUACCGCAUACGUCCUGAGGGAGAAAGUGGGGGAUCUUCGGACCUCACGCUAUCAGAUGAGCCUAGGUCGGAUUAGCUAGUUGGUGGGUAAAGGCCUACCAAGGCGACGAUCCGUAACUGGUCUGAGAGGAUGAUCAGUCACACUGGAACUGAGACACGGUCCAGACUCCUACGGGAGGCAGCAGUGGGGAAUAUUGGACAAUGGGCGAAAGCCUGAUCCAGCCAUGCCGCGUGUGUGAAGAAGGUCUUCGGAUUGUAAAGCACUUUAAGUUGGGAGGAAGGGCAGUAAGUUAAUACCUUGCUGUUUUGACGUUACCAACAGAAUAAGCACCGGCUAACUUCGUG
RNAcentral lists this ribosomal RNA (483 nucleotides) under uncultured bacterium. RNAcentral describes it as "partial 16S ribosomal RNA". It matches the Rfam family "Bacterial small subunit ribosomal RNA", at positions 30 to 507 of the family's 1533-position model. The record is from RNAcentral.